UACGAACCACCCAAACGUUAUUCGGAAUUACUGGGCUUAAAGCGUGCGUAGGCGGCCAUGUAAGUAGGGUGUGAAAUCCCACAGCUCAACUGUGGAACUGCGCUCUAAACUACAUGGCUAGAGGGAUAUAGAGGUGAGCGGAACUGAUGGUGGAGCGGUGAAAUGCGUUGAUAUCAUCAGGAACACCGGAGGCGAAGGCGGCUCACUGGGUAUCUUCUGACGCUGAGGUACGAAAGCUAGGGGAGCGAACGGG
This 253-nucleotide ribosomal RNA is filed under the name uncultured bacterium. Its description in RNAcentral is "partial 16S ribosomal RNA". It matches the Rfam family "Bacterial small subunit ribosomal RNA", at positions 524 to 776 of the family's 1533-position model. The record is from RNAcentral.